AGGAUGAACGCUGGCGGUCUGCUUAACACAUGCAAGUCGAACGGAGUAGCAAUACUUAGUGGCGGACGGGUGAGUAACGCGUGAGAAUCUACCUUCAGAACGGAGACAACAGUUGGAAACGACUGCUAACCCCCGAUGUACUGAAAGGCAAAUAUUUAUAGCCUGAAGAAGAGCUCGCGUCCGAUUAGCUAGUUGGAGAGGUAAAAGCUCACCAAGGCGACGAUCGGUAGCUGGUCUGAGAGGACGAUCAGCCACACUGGGACUGAGACACGGCCCAGACUCCUACGGGAGGCAGCAGUGGGGAAUUUUCCGCAAUGGGCGAAAGCCUGACGGAGCAAGACCGCGUGGGGGAAGAAGGCUCGUUGGGUUGUAAACCCCCUUUUCUCUGGGAAGAACACAAUGACGGUACCAGAGGAAUCAGCAUCGGCUAACUCCGUGCCAGCAGCCGC
RNAcentral lists this ribosomal RNA (449 nucleotides) under uncultured bacterium. Its description in RNAcentral is "SSU rRNA". It matches the Rfam family "Bacterial small subunit ribosomal RNA", at positions 26 to 518 of the family's 1533-position model. The record is from RNAcentral.